Molecule: non-coding RNA, 2644 nt
Organism: Triticum urartu
Lineage: Eukaryota; Viridiplantae; Streptophyta; Magnoliopsida; Poales; Poaceae
Source: RefSeq, a predicted model, not a curated record
AGCGGGUAAAAAACUCCCAAACCCGCUGUUGGGUUGGUCUCUGCGCUGGCUGCCCUCGCCAUGGAGGACGAUGGCCAUCCCGACCCCUACCUUGAUCUCCCCCCUGAAAUCGCCGAGGAGCGGCGGCGCGCUGCUAGACUCGCUGAUGAGCGCCGCCGCCAGCACCGCGAAACCGCUCUUUGUCUGCUCUCGCCGCCGGCUCCCGUCGCCAUGGACGGCGAUGCUCCUCUCGUCUCGUUCCUUGAUCUUCACCCUGAACUCGCCGAGGAGCGGCGGCGCCCCGAACCGUCAUCUUCCCAUAAAACUGAGGUUCAGGUGCAUGCUAGCGAGGUUAGCAGCAAUGAGGGCUCUGUAACUGUGGAUCUGUCAGAAUCCACUGCCCAAGCGCUGAAUGACGUACCUCACAGGAAAUAUUAUGUUUCGGUCAAAAUAUUUCAGCAAAUUCAGUACUACGCAGGAAAUCAAAUAUUUUUCAAAAUAUUUUUUUAAAAUUUCAAAUAUUUAAUUCCAAAUGAAUAUUUCGGCCUUUUGGCUGAAAUGCAAACUGAAAUAACUGAUUUAUAGCUGAAAUGAACUGUACAGAACCACCUUAGCGGCUUUCUUACAGCCUAAGACUUCUUGACUUGACCCACUGACUUCUAGCGUAAGACAAAGACUUGACUCACUAGCUUACUACCGAAAAUAUUCAAAAAUAAAUAAAUAUUACCAUAUUUCCAAGUGUCAUUAGUUUCUUCAUUGCACUUCUUGACUUGGCCCACUGACUUCUAGCGUAAGACAAAGACUUGAAUCACUAGCUUACUAUCGAAAUUAUUUACAAAAUAUAUAUUCGGACCAUAUUUCCAAGUGUCAUCCUUUUGUUCAUUGUUAUACCACCGUUCGCUCUGUUAUACUCAAUCCUUAAGACUUGAUUCAUUAACUAACUGCAGCAUGACUAACUACAACAAGGAUUAUAACUAACAGCAGGAAGUCUCAAAGCACUAAAACUAUACCUGUUUAUACAUGGAUCAAAUAGCCAAAAAGAAAAGAAGAGUAGCAGAGCCGCAUGUCAUUAGUAAAGUGCAGCACGGCAAAUGUGAGUGCUAUGAAUUAAACUAUUCACAUUCUAAUCUAUGGUUUAAUUGCUAUCACUAUGUAUAGCUACUUAGAUAUUGACGCAUAAAGCACAAAAUAAUGCCGUAGGCUGUAACAGCACCAGCAAAUAAGCAGCCAAACAAUUAUUUAUGUUCAUUUACAGUAAUUUUUCUUUGUUUUGCCUCAGCGGAAUACAUUCACUAGUUCAGUACUACAUAGACUUAUUUAUUGCAUUAUGUAAACUAUAUGGGCAUGGUUUUCUUCAGGGAGAAGGAACUGCAAGAAAUGGAGGAUUACUUGAAAGAGAAUACGUGCAACACUGUAAGCGAAGUGAUGGAUAAGAUUUUCGGUCUAGGGUGUUCCAGUCUAGCUGCUAAGUAUGACAAUAUGUCAGCUGCUGAGCAUGCUGAUAUGACUGCUCGACCUUCCUACUUUUGUAAGAGGCCUCCCGUAGGGUGACCGUCUUCUCCAGCUGAUUCAGAAACCCAGUCCCUUCAGGCAACAGAACCAGCUUUGAGGAAUGAACCAUCGCGGCAGUAUUUGCUACGUCGACAACCAAGUCAUGCAGAUGGAAAAUGAGGUUCUCUUUAAGAAAUUUCACUUAUUUCCGAAGCACAGGAACUGCAGAUUCAUGCCACUAAAGCUGUUUUAAGUGAGUUAUUGGAAGCUCAAACUGCGUGAUCCUGGAUCUGACUGGCAACUGGUGGACUGCCGAGGUUGCCUGUUGACCGUUGCUAGUAAUUAUCCCCUUGGCCCCUCAUAAUAUGCAGGGUUAUAAAUUAUCCAAUCACCCUUGUAUGCUACAUGUUACUAUUAUAGCAUCUUUGUGUUUGCAGAAAGAAGCGAAAAUGCCUUUCUGCUCCCGAGCUCAUUUGAGCUCGGUGAACAGUAAAAUCGAAAAAAUAUCAAAAAAUUCCAAUUUUUUUUGGGAGAAACAUUGACAAAAGUUCUAAGUGCUUGCAAAAAUUCGUCAUGAAAUCACAUUCCUGUAAGGCGUGGCAAAAAAACAAAUUCAGUGCUCCAAAAUGCUUUUGAAAGUAGCAUUUUCAGAGUACCGAUUUUUUUUUGCCACGCCUUCUAGAAAUGUGAUUUCAUAAAGAUUUUUUGCAAGCACUUAAAACUUUUCUCAAUGUUUCUCCCAAAAAAAAUUGUAAUUUUUCGAAUUUUUUUCGAUUUUCUUUUGAUUUUACUGUUCACCCGAGCUCAUUUGUGCUCGGGUGCAGAAACUCUGCGUCCCAGAAAGAAGUAUCUAUCAUCUAUGUUUCUUGUUUAGCAAAAUAGCAGAAGAUAUUGAUAAUAUUCAUGUAUGUUUAUUGGUUCCUCUACAUGCACCAUAGUUUUUCCCCAAUAUUCAUUCUUUUAGAUAAUGAGAGGGAUCACGGGCCAUGACAGGCGCACAAUUUCUUAGCAACCAGUGCAUAUACCAACCUUAUAAGCACAUUUAGGUGUUCGCCACACAUAUAUCUAGUUAAUUUACUUUCCUUUCAAUGUUAUGUGCUUCUUAAUAUGUGUUGGGGCCAAAACCCAAAAGCUUAUCAAUCGUUGAACAUGAUGACAUCAUAUUCUGGUUUCU